AUGCCGAUUCAUACCCCUUCCCGUAACAAAUGGAGCGCCAAGCGUAUUGUACUCGUUGCUAUGUUAGGAACCCUUGUCGCCGUCGCCGUGGCGGCCGUAGUCUCCAUGAGCCUCUCACCCCCACACAUCUACUUCUCCGUUGAAGACGCGACGAUCCAGCCCGCGCCGUCCAACGGGCAAAACCUGUAUGCCUUCUACAACUUCACCCUUGUGGCCAACAACACCAGCCGGCGCUCGUCCGUGCACUACAGCGCCCUGAGUGCCGAGAUAUGGCAGAACGUGACGCUGUGGUUUCCGGCCGAGGUCGACACGCCGGCGGUGGUGGGCAAGCAGCAGCCGCCGGGGGGCCUCACCAGGGUCCGCGGCUGGGCCGAGUUCUACGAGUACGACCGAGCCACCAAGCCCAGCGACAUCGUCGUCGGUGACUGGCCCAACUCCACGGUGGUGGUGGUGGCCAAGGUGUGGUUCAAGUUCAGCCUCGCCCGCACCAGGCCCUACAACGUCAGGGUCACCUGCGCGCCCGUCAACUUCCGCGAUAAGACCACAUACACCGCCUGCAUAGGGGGAUACCACUCGAUUCUGGAAAGGCAUAUUCAGAUAACAGCGCCUCCGACCUCAGGCCGCUUCGACCCUGCUGCAGCAACUGAUAACGUUUCCAGUCCAAGAGUAUUGCCCAACGGCAGCGACUCCGAAGCCCAGUUCCCGUCGUCAGAGGUGAUUUCGUCCUGUGUAGUUACAAUCCUCAUGAUACAGAAUUGCACGGAGAAGCAGUAUCACCCCACGGAGGUGGCGCUCAUCCAAGACUCGGCGAUGCCGCAGCUGCAACCGUGCAGCUCGCAGGACGUGCCCAUCUUUAGGGAGAUCCAGAUGGAAAAUGGAAACUUCACCAUGGUAUGUGGCAUGUAA
This 906-nucleotide ribosomal RNA is filed under the name Triticum aestivum (bread wheat). Its description in RNAcentral is "partial small subunit ribosomal RNA". Lineage: Eukaryota; Viridiplantae; Streptophyta; Magnoliopsida; Poales; Poaceae. The record is from RNAcentral.